GUGGGGAUAUAGCUCAAUUGGUAGAGUUUUUGCCUCUUAUGCAGAAGGUCCUGGGUUCAAUUCCUAGCACCACA
This 74-nucleotide transfer RNA is filed under the name Marmota monax (woodchuck). RNAcentral's name for it is "tRNA.Lys". It matches the Rfam family "tRNA". From Rfam's summary of the family: Transfer RNA (tRNA) molecules are approximately 80 nucleotides in length. Lineage: Eukaryota; Metazoa; Chordata; Mammalia; Rodentia; Sciuridae. The record is from RNAcentral.